ACAAGAUACGCCUGGAGCUCUAUCACGGAGGCGAAUAAUUUACGGUAUAAAAAGAUUUACAGCCGAGAGGGCUAACUCGUUGGAGCACACAAGCAAUUACAAAGCCAGCUAGAUACAACUUUUGGUACCAGCGGAGCGCAGCGCACAACCCUCGAAUACGCUCCUCGAGCCCUCUCUUGCCUCUUUUUUUUUUAUCCCGGGUGACAAUUCAUUUGUGCGCUCCAAGUCAAGUCAGAGCGCACUCCGUUGAAAUGAGAGCAGCAGCAUAAAGACCCUACAGCUUCGAGAGAGGGGACAGAGACAUAUUUAGUGUUUGACAGUGUCAGACAGUGAGCGGGGAACAGCAGAGGAGCACCUGUCUUCGCGGGAUGUCCUUGGAAAGCAGCUAAAACCGAGACGCAUCAUCGGUCUAGUCCGGGGACAGAAGCCUAAACAAAUGGGCGCUGCCAGCGUGGACCUGCUGGUCACCCUCCAGAUCCUGCCCGGUUUCUUCUCCAACUGCCUGUUCCUCGCGCUCUACGACUCGGUGGUGCUGGUGAAGCGCGUGGUGUCGUUGCUGAGCUGCCCUGGCGGCGGCGGGGGAGAGUGGCAGCGCAUGCUGACCUCGGCGGGGCUCCGUUCCAUAUGGAACAGCUUCCUGCUGGACGCAUACAAACAGGUGAAACUUGGCAGUGAGGCACCCAACUCCAAAGUGGUGAAGGUUCCUGGUAGUGGUGGUAACCAUGGCUUCCGGCGGCGGAGCAGUGUGACCACCACGGCCCGUCAUCCUGGAGACGAGUGCCGCCUGCUGGACUUUGAGUCAUCGGAGCGCCCUCUUGUGGUGAACUUCGGUUCAGCCACCUGACCCCCGUUCAUCAGCCACCUGCCCGCCUUCCGGCGGCUGGUGGAGGAGUUCUCUAACGUGGCCGACUUCCUGCUGGUCUACAUCGACGAGGCGCACCCCUCAGACGGCUGGGUGGCACCCACCAUGGGCCCAUGCUCCUUCGAGGUCAGGAAGCACCGGUCGCUGGAGGAGAGGGUGGUGGCGGCCAUGAAACUGACUGAGGCCUUCAGCCUGCCGCCUCAGUGCCAGCUGGUGGCUGACUGCAUGGACAACAAUGCUAACGUAGCCUACGGCGUGUCCUACGAGAGGGUGUGCAUCGUGCAGAGGAGGAAGAUCGCCUACCUGGGUGGGAAGGGACCCUUCUUCUACAACCUGAAGGAUGUGAGGCAGUAUCUGGAACAGAGAUAUGGCAAGAGAUAGGGGGCAGACAGAGAGGACGAGUUCUGUGACAACUGAACGGCUGAUAAGGGAAAGAGAGAAUAUUUAUUUUUGUAUAAAAGGAGAAUAAAAGGAAGGCGAGGUGCUUUCAGAACUGAUCUGUUCUGACCACAAAUGACAGGCAAUGCUUGGAACAGAACAUGUGACAUGUUCUAAAAUUCCCAAGUUCCACAUCUCUGGAACUUCCUUCCUGGAAGGAGACCAACAUUCCAUAAAACUUUUCACUGGAACACAAUAGAACAGAACCGAUAGACUAGAACAUGGACUGAUGCUCUGCUAACUAUGACAGUGAGUUGACUGAAAGAAGAAACUGAAUAGGUUGACCCGUGACAUGCUUUAUCAAUAACUUCAUCCCCAUUUGCUAAUAAUCUAAACGUUUUCAAGUUACAGUACACAUUAUCUUCUAACCUGGCUCCUUUCAAAACGAAAACCAAAUUACUGCACAGAGAAGAAAGCACAAGUGCCCAACUAUAUAUAUAUAUAUAUAUAUAUAUAUAUAUAUAUAUAUAUAUAUAUAUAUAUAUAUAAACAAUUAUAUUAAUUUAUUUCUAUGGAGUUUUGAAUGUUAUGUUGUUUGUUUUUACACCACGAUAAUAUUUUGUAUGUUGAUGCACUUGUAACGCUUUUUAUUUAAGAAAACAGUCCAUCAUAUAAGGGGUGUUACACCACUGUUUUCAACCAUCUAGAGUAGACUGUUUUAACCAUCUAGAGUAGACUGUUUCAACCAUCUAGAGUAGACUGUUUUAACCAUCUAGAGUAGACUGUUUUAACCAUCUAGAGUAGACUGUUUUCAACCAUCUAGAGUAGACUGUUUUAACCAUCUAGAGUAGACUGUUUCAACCAUCUAGAGUAGACUGUUUUAACCAUCUAGAGUAGACUGUUUUAACCAUCUAGAGUAGACUGUUUCAACCAUCUAGAGUAGACUGUUUUAACCAUCUAGAGUAGACUGUUUUAACCAUCUAGAGUAGACUGUUUUCAACCAUCUAGAGUAGACUGUUUUCAACCAUCUAGAGUAGACUGUUUUAACCAUCUAGAGUAGACUAGUUUCAACCAUCUAGAGUAGACUGUUUCAACCAUCUAUUGUAGACUGUUUAAACCAUCUAGAGUAGACUGUUUUCAACCAUCUAGAGUAGACUGUUUUCAACCAUCUAGAGUAGACUGUUUCAACCAUCUAGAGUAGACUGUUUCAACCAUCUAGAGUAGACUGUUUUCAACCAUCUAGAGUAGACUGUUUUCAACCAUCUCGACUCAGACACUUCCUAGUACAUCGUUCAUGUUAUACCACCACCUAGAGAAUAGACGUUAGCUCUGUGUCCAUCUCCUCCAUUAUGGGCGUUUUAACCCAAAAGACAAUGAGAGAGGGAGGGAAGUAAACCCAAGAGCAAAGCACAGAAUGAAGAAACAGAGGCAGUAUGUGUACUGUAGUCAGCACCAAGGCUACGUCGCUAGCUAGCUAGCUGUAAUCCCAGGGGCUGUUUGCUGUUGGUGAUGGUUCGUGUUAGCGAUGAGGCAGGGGUGUACAGAGAUGUAAUGGGUUGAGGGAGAUAGCCAUGUCUCCAAAAACCUAAGGUGAGUGUUCUGAAAGCUUUAUGGCUAACGUGGUACUUCAUUUCUCUCGACAACCCAGACUCAAGCCAUAUGUAGAACAUCAAACAUUGAUUUUGCAAUUGGUGCUCUCAUGGUUCAGUUGUCAAGAUAGACAAAGUGCCACGUUAGCCAUGAAGGUUCUGGGAAACUCUGAGUUCUGAGGUGUGUGGCAGGAAGUGAGAAAGGCUAAGGACAGCAGGUGAGGCAGGCUAAGAACAGGUGGUGUCUAGAUGCCUUAAGACGGUGUUUCAAAAGGGGUGUGUAUCAGUUUUAUGGUGUGACGUGACUGAAGAGGUUUUUAGUCGAUCAGACAGACAGUUGGUUUGGGUCGAGACGGGGCUGGUGUGAGAAUGAAAACCACUGACUAAAGGGUUACUGACUCAGUCUUUGGUCGGAUGACAGAACUCACCUCCUUGACGUAGACUCAAACCAACAUGUCUGAACAUCAUCAAGCCAACCAACAUUCGCACACAACCUCUCUCUCUAGGAGAGGUCCACCUCUCUCUCUAGGAGAGGUCUAUCUCUCUCUCUAAGAGAGGUCCAUCUCUCUCUCUAGGAGAGAUCCACCUCUCUCUCUAGGAGAGGUCCAUCUCUCUCUCUAGGAGAGAUCCACCUCUCUCUCUAGGAGAGGUCCAUCUCUCUCCAGGAGAGGUCCACCUCUCUCUCUAGGAGAGGUUCACCUCUCUCUCUAGGAGAGGUCCAUCUCUCUCUCUAGGAGAGGUCCAUCUCUCUCUUUAGGAGAGGUCCAUCUCUCUCUCUAGGAGAGGUCCAUCUCUCUCUCUAGGAAAAGUCCAUCAACUAAUAUUUGUUUUCUUUAACCAUAUGUGUAGAGCUGUGUUCAGAGGAGAGGAGUGACGGAAAGGAAAAUAAAGAUGAAUUUACUACUCUGUGA
Molecule: RNA transcript, 3740 nt
Organism: Salmo salar (Atlantic salmon)
Lineage: Eukaryota; Metazoa; Chordata; Actinopteri; Salmoniformes; Salmonidae
Gene name: type II iodothyronine deiodinase-like
Source: RefSeq, a predicted model, not a curated record